This 3963-nucleotide ribosomal RNA is filed under the name Triticum aestivum (bread wheat). Its description in RNAcentral is "partial small subunit ribosomal RNA". Lineage: Eukaryota; Viridiplantae; Streptophyta; Magnoliopsida; Poales; Poaceae. The record is from RNAcentral.
AUGUAUCCAACAAAUCACUACAUGGAUCCAUACUCCUCAUACUACAGGCAUCAUGCUCCCUAUCCAUAUUACCCCCCUCCUGGCUGGGAGGCUGGGCACCAGCAGAUGCCUGAACCGGACUGCUCGCCAUGUCGGCCACCGUAUCGCCCUUGGCCGUACAGUGCUAGCAUGAAUCACUCAGGCCUUCCAGAGUCCCACUCCCAUAGCUGCUGCAGCCACACAUACCCUCCUGGUUACUACAGUUUCAGACCCCCAUUUCCCCAAGAGAUUCCACCACCUCCUCCAUACUACCAUGGUCCAUUUCCACCGCAUCAUCCGAACCCCUACUCGCCAUCAUACUUUGGCCCACUCCCACCACCUUACCCUGUUGAUCAAACACCUUAUAGUGGUUAUGACAAGUUCAAGAGCCAUUGCUGUGGGUGUCCGAACCAUGUUUGCCAUGGUGAUGGAGGGCAGAAGAGCAACGUGAAAAUCGAAGAACACAUGCCUGAGAGUAACCACAAGGGUGCAGACAAUAAUUCCAGCAUAAUUCGAAACCCAAACUACCAGUACCCAGUGAUGUGGUUACCGUCCGGUGACAUGAAAGACAACAAGGGUAGUGGAAGAAGCUUUGAGUUUCCACCUCAGUUCUUCAGCAAGUGGUUUCCUCAGAGUGGAGAGAGGACAGAGGAUGUGAAGCCAGCCGAUGACAGUCAGAAGGCGAAACAACUUCAGUGGCCAUUAGUUUGGAUGCCACCAGGAUAUGGCGAGACCAAACCAGAAGCUAAAAAAGAGCCGAAGGAGAUCGAGCAGAGUCCAAAGAACACGCAAGAAGAUCCGCCUUCGCCGAAGAUCAAGAUUAUUCCCCUGUCAUGGUUUGGAAAUGAUAGUCAUGAUCAAAAGCCUGCCGCUAGGGAGGGCUCUGGAGAACAAAAUGGAAGAUCAUCAGCGACGAGUCAGACUGCAGGCACGGAGCGUCGGCAUGACACGACAGUGGAUGGAAAUUGCAAAACCGUCCCAGUUGUGCCCGAGAAACCAAACAGUGGAAAUGAACCUGCUAUUUCAGUUGUGCAGGAGAAACCAAACAGUGCGAAUGAACCUGCUACUAUUUCAGUUGUGCCGGAGAAACAUGGUGUUGAGAAGAAGGUUCAUACCUGCAGGACCAUCCCGGUUAUGGCUCAGAAAGAGAGUGAUGAGAAGAAGUCCUACAUGGGUGGAAACAAAGAGGAAAAGAAGGCCAUCAUUGUUCAGAAGGAGGGAGAAAAUAAGAAAAGCAACAAUGUUGAAUCAACAAAGGCUAAGCCUUCAAAAUUACCCCCCGUAUGCUUGCGAGUGGAUCCUCUGCCAAAGAAGAAAUCAGGAAACACAUCUUCAAGGUCAUCCAACCAAGCAACCCAGAAGGUUUGUGAAAAAGUGAAGGAUGUGAAAGAGGCCCAUGGCAAGAACCAGGAGACAAAGCUAUCAGAACAUCAGAAAGAGGGUAAGAUGCCGAUUAAAGAGAAAUCGUCUGAUGAGAUUGCCACAAAUACAGGACCUAGGAAUGUGACAGUGCUAGAUGCUUCUGUGAAGCAUGCGCAAGAGAAACAAGUUUCGACAAGCAUGACUGAUCAGAAGGUGCAACCUAGUGUCAGUGCUGAAGCGCAAGAAAAUGUCAGUGCGAGGAGCUUGCAGGAGUGUGACAAAAACCGAAAGGAGGAUGAGUUGAAGAUCCGAAGUGAAGCUCCAAAUUUAGCCUGCGAAAUCAAGUUAUCAUCACCAGAUGCCGCUGUUCGUAUUCAGUCUGCAUACAGAGGGUACCAUGUACGAAGAUGGCAACCUUUGGAGAAACUACGGAAGAUCAAGAAUGUACAUAAACAGAUGCAAGAUGUGGAGAAGCAGCUGCAGGCCCUCGAAGCUUCUUCAAAGCAGCCGACGGAGAAAGAGCACAUCGCUAUUAAUGAGACCAUCAUGAAUUUGCUUCUGAACCUUGACACCAUUCAGAACUUGCAUCCAGUUGUGAGGGAGGCUAGGAAGUCUGUUGCUCGACAGCUAGUUUGUUUGCAGGAGAAGCUUGACUCUUUGUGCAAGAAACUGCCUGCUGAACCAAAUCACCCUAAGAGUGAGGAAGCAAGUCUCACAGGAGUGGAUGGGGAACAAUUGCCUUCCUCAGUUAACUCCAACGAGUCUAUGCACGAUGAACUUUCAUCGGAAGUUGCCUUGAAGUUGAGCCAAGAUGGAGAUUCUACUGAACAGAAACAUCAGACGGAGGAACCAAGUACUGCAAAAGAAGAAGUGCAAGAUGAAGAGAAAGCUGCAGCAGCUGGUGAAUGUCAAGGAGUACCACCGACGGAUGUCAUGCCUGAUGCAGCUUCAUCAGGACUUAUCACUGAGAAGAAGCACCAAAUUGAAGAGCCAGGCAUUUUGAGGGAAGAAUGUGCUGAAGAAUGUUCAUGUCAGCAGCAGAAAGAUGGAGAGAAGGGUGAAGAAUCAUCAACGCACCACAUCGAGCCAUUGCAUUAUACACCUGCUAGGCAAAACUGCCACACUGAAGAAUCAGAUCAAAGGGUUUCUCGUACUACAACUGAGGAUGGCAAAACUUCAAUGACUACAGCAUGUAUGGACAGUGAAUUGGCUGCUGAUAAUCAGGACGGUUCGGCAGAAGGGGGUCAGGUGCAGGAAUCUGCUCCCGUUGGUAUCUCGUGGCUGAAACAUGAUGCUGCCCCUGCUGAAGACCAGUUCAAAGAACCAGGUGCUCCAUCCCUUCAUCUGGAGGAUGAGGAUUCUUCUGUGCCUUCAAAAGCUGCAGAUCCACAUGAAAAUGAUCCAGCCAUUGCAGAUGACUCCAUAGCAAUCAUGACUCCAGCAGAUCAACAAGAAGAGUCCGUCGAUGCCGACAUGCAGAAAGAAGUUGCAGAGACCAUGGUUGAUUCAGACAAAGAACCAAAUGGAAUGGGCGAUGCCGGUAACAUGGACUACGUUACCGGUGCAAAUGCAGAGACCACAAAGCAAGAAAAAAUUGGUUUGGUAGGACCAGAAGCGACAAGGCAAUGUGAUGUUUCUCAUAUGGGCGAUUCAGCCCUUGUGGAGCAGCAAAAUGAAGGUGGCUCUGCCAUGGAAAAUACUGUGAAUGAUGUCAUUGGAGUGGAGCCUGAAGCCAUUGCAUUGGAAAGCAGAGUCGCUGCCAUUGUAGAGGAGACUGAAGCUGUACCAUUGGAAAUCGAUGGCAAGACCACCGAAAAUACUCUGGAUGAUGCCGCACCAUUGGAGAACAGAGACAAAAUCAUGGAAAAUACUAUGAAUGUUGCAAUUGGAGAGGACCCUGAAGCUGCUGUACCACUGGAAGUCGAAGGCAAGACCAUUGAAAAUACUCUGAAUGAUGCAGUUGGAGAGGAGCCUGAAGCCGUACCACUGGAAAGCAGAGUCAAGACCAUGGAAAAUACACUGAACGACGCAGGAUGUCCGAGUAAAACGAGUGCUGAACCUGCCCUGCCUGAAAGUAGAGGCGACGGAGCACCAUGUGAACACGGCGGUGCAACGGUUUACGCCAAUCCUAACUCCAAGGUGCCUUCGGAGAGCCAUGGUGGCGAGCAGAAGGAGCAGGAUGAUGAUGGAGGUAAAGUAGAUGUUUCUGAAUCUCUAGCAUGUGCAGUAGGAGCAAAUUCUGCUGUACCUGCACAAGAAGCAGGCGAGCCGGAAGAAGGUGCUGCUGAAGGAGCAUUUCCAGAGGAAGAAGAAGCAGCGGCUACGGCCCCUGCGACUCGCGAUGAUGGCCUGAAGAGCAGCUACGACGGCAACAACACAGGAGUGAGCGACGAGAACCAGAAGCUCAAGGAGAUGCUGCAGAAGGUGCUCGCGUCCGGGAACGACCAGAUGGGGGUCAUCGCGGAGCUGAGCGACAAGGUGAAGUCGCUGGAGAGGAAGCUCGCGGCGCACAAGAGGAGGAGGCCCAAGGUGAGGGUGCAGCACCGGCCGGCCAGGGACGCAACGGCCAACGACGUGCACUGA